AGAGUUUGAUCCUGGCUCAGGAUGAACGCUGGCGGCGUGCCUAAUACAUGCAAGUCGAACGAAGAACCUUCGGGUUCUUAGUGGCGAACGGGUGAGUAAUACAUAAGCAACCUGCCCCUAUGUCUGGGAUAACUAUUGGAAACGAUAGCUAAUACCGGAUACGAGUAUCUCUGGCAUCUGAGAUAUUUAAAAGAUGGGUUACAUCGCAAAGGGAUGGGCUUAUGGCGCAUUAGCUAGUUGGUGAGGUAACGGCUCACCAAGGCGAUGAUGCGUAGCCGAUUUGAGAGGAUGAACGGCCACAUUGGGACUGAGACACGGCCCAGACUCCUACGGGAGGCAGCAGUAGGGAAUUUUCGGCAAUGGGCGAAAGCCUGACCGAGCAACGCCGCGUGAGUGAAGACGGCCUUCGGGUUGUAAAGCUCUGUUGAUAGGGAAGAAUGUUACGUAUAGGGAAUGAUAUGUAAGUGACGGUACCUAUCCAGAAAGCCACGGCUAACUACGUGCCAGCAGCCGCGGUAAUACGUAGGUGGCAAGCGUUAUCCGGAUUUAUUGGGCGUAAAGGGUGCGUAGGCGGCAGUUUAAGUUUAAGGUGAAAGCGUUGGGCUCAACCCAAUACAGCCUCAAAAACUGGUAGACUAGAGUGCGGUAGAGGUAAAUGGAAUUUCUAGUGUAGCGGUGAAAUGCGUAGAUAUUAGAAGGAACACCAGUGGCGAAGGCGAUUUACUGGGCCGUAACUGACGCUGAGGCACGAAAGCGUGGGGAGCAAAUAGGAUUAGAUACCCUAGUAGUCCACGCUGUAAACGAUGAGUACUAAGUGUGGGAGGACUGACCCCUUCCGUGCCGCAGUUAACACAAUAAGUAUUCCACCUGGGGAGUACGACCGCAAGGUUGAAACUCAAAGGAAUUGACGGGGGCCCGCACAAGCAGUGGAUUAUGUGGUUUAAUUCGACGCAACGCGAAGAACCUUACCAGGGUUUGACAUCCAACUAACGAAGUAGAGAUACAUUAGGUGCCCUUCGGGGAAAGUUGAGACAGGUGGUGCAUGGUUGUCGUCAGCUCGUGUCGUGAGAUGUUGGGUUAAGUCCCGCAACGAGCGCAACCCCUAUUGUUAGUUGCUACGCAAGAGCACUCUAGCGAGACUGCCGUUGACAAAACGGAGGAAGGCGGGGACGACGUCAAAUCAUCAUGCCCCUUAUAUCCUGGGCUACACACGUAAUACAAUGGUGGUAAACAGAGGGAAGCAAUACAGCGAUGUGGAGCAAAUCCCUAAAAGCCAUCUCAGUUCGGAUUGCAGGCUGCAACUCGCCUGCAUGAAGCUGGAAUUGCUAGUAAUCGCGGAUCAGCAUGCCGCGGUGAAUACGUUCCCGGGCCUUGCACACACCGCCCGUCA
RNAcentral lists this ribosomal RNA (1390 nucleotides) under uncultured bacterium. RNAcentral describes it as "partial 16S ribosomal RNA". It matches the Rfam family "Bacterial small subunit ribosomal RNA". The record is from RNAcentral.